Molecule: ribosomal RNA, 270 nt
Filed under: uncultured prokaryote
Description: partial 16S ribosomal RNA
Rfam family: Bacterial small subunit ribosomal RNA
Source: RNAcentral
UACGGAGGAUCCGAGCGUUAUCCGGAUUUAUUGGGUUUAAAAGGGUGCGCAGGCGGGGGAUUAAGUCGGCGGUGAAAUUUUGCAGCUCAACUGUAAAAGUGCCUUCGAAACUGGUUUCCUUGAGUGUAGAUGAAGUAGGCGGAAUUUGUGGUGUAGCGGUGAAAUGCAUAGAUAUCACGAGGAACUCCGAUUGCGCAGGCAGCUUACUAAACUACUACUGACGCUCAUGCACGAAGGCGUGGGGAUCAAACAGGAUUAGAUACCCCUGUA